CUGAGAGUAGAACUGUAUUUGAGAUAUGGAAACUCCUAUCUUAUAUCUAAAAACCAUUGUUGCUACCUGGUUGAGCUCCAGUUCCACUUCCUGGGUGAUUGGGACCAUCCUCCCCAUCCUGUGUGGCCUGGUCCUCUUCCUCCGUUCCUUCCCUCCCUCCAGAGGAAUUCGUCCUUACAACCACCUUACAAAAGGAGAAAGGUCAGGAAGCGUCAAGUGCAGCCGAGAGGGAGGAGCAGCAGGAACAGCAAGAAAAGGGGAGCUUUGAAAGCUUACAGAGCUGGCCAGAAGGACAUGGCAGAAGUGGGGAGUCUGAUGUCCCCUUCGCAAAGCACACAGGGAAGAGGCCAUCUGAGGACACAACCAGAAGGAGGCCCUCUACAAGCCAGGAAGAGAGCCCUCGCCAGAAAUCAACCUGACGGCACCUUGAUCUUUGACUUCCAGCCUCCAGAACUCUGAG
RNAcentral lists this long non-coding RNA (460 nucleotides) under Equus caballus (horse). Its description in RNAcentral is "lncRNA (ENSECAG00000040889.2)". Lineage: Eukaryota; Metazoa; Chordata; Mammalia; Perissodactyla; Equidae. The record is from RNAcentral.